AACGAACGCUGGCGGCAUGCCUAACACAUGCAAGUCGAACGAGACCUUCGGGUCUAGUGGCGCACGGGUGCGUAACGCGUGGGAACCUGCCCUUAGGUUAGGAAUAACUCCCCGAAAGGGGUGCUAAUACCGGAUAAUGUCUUCGGACCAAAGAUUUAUCGCCUUUGGAUGGGCCCGCGUUGGAUUAGCUAGUUGGUAGGGUAAAAGCCUACCAAGGCGACGAUCCAUAGCUGGUCUGAGAGGAUGAUCAGCCACACUGGGACUGAGACACGGCCCAGACUCCUACGGGAGGCAGCAGUGGGGAAUAUUGGACAAUGGGCGAAAGCCUGAUCCAGCGAUGCCGCGUGAGUGAUGAAGGCCUUAGGGUUGUAAAGCUCUUUUACCCGGGAUGAUAAUGACAGUACCGGGAGAAUAAGCUCCGGCUAACUCCGUG
RNAcentral lists this ribosomal RNA (433 nucleotides) under uncultured bacterium. Its description in RNAcentral is "partial 16S ribosomal RNA". It matches the Rfam family "Bacterial small subunit ribosomal RNA", at positions 29 to 507 of the family's 1533-position model. The record is from RNAcentral.